GACGAACGCUGGCGGCGUGCCUAACACAUGCAAGUCGAACGGAAAGGCCCUGCUUUUGGGGGGUGGGCGAGUGGAGAACGGGUGAGUAACACGUGAGUAACCUGUCCCUGACUUUGGGAUAACCUCAGGAAACUGGGGCUAAUACCGGAUAGGAGCUCCCGCUGCAUGGUGGGGGUGGGAAAGUUUCGGCGGUUGGGGAUGGACUCGCGGCUUAUCAGCUUGUUGGUGGGGUAGUGGCAUAGCAAGGCCUUGACGGGUAGCCGGCCUGAGAGGGUGACCGGCCACACUGGGACUGGGAUGCGGCCCAGACUAGAACGGGAGGCGACGGUGCGGAAUAUUGCACAAGGGGCGGGAGCCUGAUGCAGCACAGCCGCGUGGGGGAUGACGGCAUUGGGGUAGUAAACCACUUCCGCCUGUGACGAGGCGUGAGUGACGGUACUGGGUAAAGAAGCACCGGCUAACUACGUG
RNAcentral lists this ribosomal RNA (468 nucleotides) under uncultured bacterium. RNAcentral's name for it is "partial 16S ribosomal RNA". It matches the Rfam family "Bacterial small subunit ribosomal RNA", at positions 28 to 507 of the family's 1533-position model. The record is from RNAcentral.